GGCAGCGUAGCGUAGUGGGUAAGGGACUGGGCUUGUAACCUAAUGGUCGCAGGUUCGAUUCCUGGGUGCCA
This 71-nucleotide transfer RNA is filed under the name Anguilla anguilla (European eel). RNAcentral describes it as "tRNA-OTHER". Lineage: Eukaryota; Metazoa; Chordata; Actinopteri; Anguilliformes; Anguillidae. The record is from RNAcentral.